GAUGAAGAACGUAGCGAAAUGCGAUACUUGGUGUGAAUUGCAGAAUCCCGUGAACCAUCGAGUCUUUGAACGCAAGUUGCGCCUGAAGCCUCGGCUAAGGGCACGUCUGCCCGGGCGUCACGCAUCGCGUCUCCCCCAAACCGCCAAGGCGGAGGGGAAGGAAGAUGGCUUCCCGUGCCUCACCCGGCGCGGUUGGCCUAAAUUUGGAGCCCGCGGCACUUAGCUCACGCGGCGAUAGGUGGUGAACAAGGCCUUGGCCGUGCAAACAACCCGCUGCGAAGCUCUAUGUCACGUGCGCUCGUCGGACCCUUUGAAGUUGCCUUCGGUGACUUAAAACCUUUGCGACCCCAGGUCAGGCGGGGCUACCCGCUGAAUUUAAGCAUAUCAAUAAGCGGAGGA
RNAcentral lists this unclassified non-coding RNA (399 nucleotides) under soil metagenome. RNAcentral describes it as "partial contains 5.8S ribosomal RNA, internal transcribed spacer 2, and large subunit ribosomal RNA". The stretch from base 1 to 120 matches the Rfam family "5.8S ribosomal RNA", at positions 35 to 154 of the family's 154-position model. The record is from RNAcentral.